Molecule: ribosomal RNA, 576 nt
Filed under: uncultured bacterium
Lineage: Bacteria
Description: bacterial SSU rRNA
Rfam family: Bacterial small subunit ribosomal RNA
Source: RNAcentral
ACGGGUGAGUAAUGUCUGGGGAUCUGCCCGAUAGAGGGGGAUAACCACUGGAAACGGUGGCUAAUACCGCAUAACGUCGCAAGACCAAAGAGGGGGACCUUAGGGCCUCUCACUAUCGGAUGAACCCAGAUGGGAUUAGCUAGUAGGCGGGGUAACGGCCCACCUAGGCGACGAUCCCUAGCUGGUCUGAGAGGAUGACCAGCCACACUGGAACUGAGACACGGUCCAGACUCCUACGGGAGGCAGCAGUGGGGAAUAUUGCACAAUGGGCGCAAGCCUGAUGCAGCCAUGCCGCGUGUAUGAAGAAGGCCUUCGGGUUGUAAAGUACUUUCAGCGGGGAGGAAGGCGAUGUGGUUAAUAACCGCGUCGAUUGACGUUACCCGCAGAAGAAGCACCGGCUAACUCCGUGCCAGCAGCCGCGGUAAUACGGAGGGUGCAAGCGUUAAUCGGAAUUACUGGGCGUAAAGCGCACGCAGGCGGUCUGUUAAGUCAGAUGUGAAAUCCCCGGGCUUAACCUGGGAACUGCAUUUGAAACUGGCAGGCUUGAGUCUCGUAGAGGGGGGUAGAAUUCCAGGU